CAUCAAGUCAUGUUCCCAUGAGGAGAUCACCCAGCUCAUCAUGCUAGAGCAAUUUUUCAAUGGGCUCCCCAACAACAAGGCGACGAAGCAUUCGUAUGUCAUCCAUAUCAACUUUCGAUGCCAUUUACUGUGCCUACCAUGGUGACCAUGGGUAACGGGGAAUCAGGGCUCGAUUCCGGAGAGGGAGCCUGAGAAACGGCUACCAUAUGCAAGGAAGGCAGCACGCGCGCAAAUGACCCACUCCCGACGCGGGAAGGUAG
Molecule: ribosomal RNA, 260 nt
Filed under: Pelobates cultripes (western spadefoot toad)
Lineage: Eukaryota; Metazoa; Chordata; Amphibia; Anura; Pelobatidae
Description: SSU_rRNA_microsporidia
Rfam family: Eukaryotic small subunit ribosomal RNA
Source: RNAcentral